RNAcentral lists this ribosomal RNA (450 nucleotides) under uncultured bacterium. RNAcentral's name for it is "partial 16S ribosomal RNA". It matches the Rfam family "Bacterial small subunit ribosomal RNA", at positions 354 to 796 of the family's 1533-position model. The record is from RNAcentral.
GUGGGGAAUAUUGGACAAUGGGCGCAAGCCUGAUCCAGCAAUGCCGCGUGCAGGAAGAAGGCCUUCGGGUUGUAAACUGCUUUUGUACGGAACGAAACGGUCCUGGUUAAUACCUGGGGCUAAUGACGGUACCGUAAGAAUAAGCACCGGCUAACUACGUGCCAGCAGCCGCGGUAAUACGUAGGGUGCGAGCGUUAAUCGGAAUUACUGGGCGUAAAGCGUGCGCCGGCGGGGCUGUAAGACAGGCGUGAAAUCCCCGGGCUCAACCUGGGAAUUGCGCUUGUGACUGCAGUGCUGGAGUACGGCAGAGGGGGAUGGAAUUCCGCGUGUAGCAGUGAAAUACGUAGAUAUGCGGAGGAACACCGAUGGCGAAGGCAGUCCCCUGGGCCUGUACUGACGCUCAUGCACGAAAGCGUGGGGAGCAAACAGGAUUAGAAACCCGGGUAGUCC